Non-coding RNA from Jatropha curcas, 1230 nucleotides. Lineage: Eukaryota; Viridiplantae; Streptophyta; Magnoliopsida; Malpighiales; Euphorbiaceae. The record is from RefSeq and is a predicted model, not a curated record.
UUAUGUCAUAUGGGUUUGAGAUGUCAUGGUUUGAGGCUUGCUGUGACAACUAUGAGGAAAACCGCUGCAACCUAGACAUUGCCAACAUUACGGAAAACUGUUACGGAAAACGAAUAUCCAGGUUCCGUCUUGACGUCGUCUUUCUGCUACUGAGUAUACGCUACCUGGGUAGGAAAGAUAUUGCUGGCGGUUAUGGUGAUACAAGAGUGACAAUUUAUUAUGCUGGAUUAAAAGAGAUAUUUGGUUUAGCUAAUGGGUUGAUUAAUGACCUGUAUACUAACCGGAUUCCCAAUGGCAGGUCAAUAAGAUAUGCCGGAUAUUAUGUCUUGGGUUUGCUUACUUAUUUAAUUUCUUUCUUUGUGGUAUGUCGUGCAACAUUAACCUUAUGUGGGAUAAUAGGUCUUCUCUCCUUUUGGAUUUAUAAAUGGCAAAGGAGACAUUUAUCAAAAUAUGAUAAUAUUGAAGAGUUUCUUCAAAGUUAUGAUAAUCUCUUCCCAAUUAGAUACUCUUACUCAGAAAUUAUUAAGAUAACAAACGGUUUCAAAGAAAAGCUGGGAGAAGGAGGUUUUGGCUCUGUAUACAAAGGAAAACUCCGGAGUGGUAAUUUUGCUGCAGUAAAAAUGUUGAACAUGUCCAAAGGUAACGGUCGAGACUUCAUCAAUGAAGUUGCUACAAUUGGGAGCAUUCGUCACAUUAAUGUGGUUCGUCUUGUUGGUUUUUAUGCUGCGAAAUCUAAACGUGCUCUCGUAUAUGAGUGCUCUCGUAUAUGAUUUCAUGUCUAAUGGAUCUCUCGAGAAGUAUAUAUUUUCGGAAGAACGUAGCAAUUUGAUACCCAUUGAGAAAAUGUAUGAGAUUUCUCUAGGAGUGGUUCGCGGGAUUGACUAUCUUCACCGAGGCUGUCAUAUAAAAAUAUUACAUUUUGAUAUCAAGCCACAUAACAUUCUUCUCAAUGAAAAUUUCUUGCCAAAAAUUUCAGAUUUCGGACUUGCAAAAUUAUAUUCGACCGAUGAGAGUAUUGUGUGUCUCAUAGCAGCGAGGGGAACAAUGGGUUACAUGGCUCCAGAACUAAUCUACAAGAACAUUGGAAGUAUAUCUCAUAAAGCUGAUGUGUAUAGUUUUGGGAUUUUGUUAAUGGAAAUGGUGGGAAGAAGAAAGCACUUGAAUGCAUUUGCUGGCGCGGCAUGUAAGGCCAAAGGUCUAUUUUUCCGACAUGGGUUUAUGAACAAUUAA